ACGCGCGGAACCUUACCAGGUCUUGACAUCCUCUGAUAACUCUGGAGACAGAGCGUUCCCCUUCGGGGGACAGAGUGACAGGUGGUGCAUGGUUGUCGUCAGCUCGUGUCGUGAGAUGUUGGGUUAAGUCCCGCAACGAGCGCAACCCUUGUCCUUAGUUGCCAGCACUUAGUUGGGCACUCUAAGGAGACUGCCGGUGACAAACCGGAGGAAGGUGGGGAUGACGUCAAAUCAUCAUGCCCCUUAUGACCUGGGCUACACACGUGCUACAAUGGAUAGAACAAAGGGCAGCGAAGCCGCGAGGUCAAGCAAAUCCCAUAAAUCUAUUCUCAGUUCGGAUUGUAGGCUGCAACUCGCCUGCAUGAAGCUGGAAUCGCUAGUAAUCGCGGAUCAGCAUGCCGCGGUGAAUACGUUCCCGGGCCUUGCACACACCGCCCGU
This 439-nucleotide ribosomal RNA is filed under the name uncultured bacterium. RNAcentral describes it as "bacterial SSU rRNA". It matches the Rfam family "Bacterial small subunit ribosomal RNA", at positions 959 to 1397 of the family's 1533-position model. The record is from RNAcentral.